RNAcentral lists this ribosomal RNA (274 nucleotides) under uncultured bacterium. Its description in RNAcentral is "partial 16S ribosomal RNA". It matches the Rfam family "Bacterial small subunit ribosomal RNA", at positions 523 to 796 of the family's 1533-position model. The record is from RNAcentral.
AUACGGAGGGUGCAAGCGUUAUUCGGAAUCACUGGGCGUAAAGGACGCGUAGGCGGGUUGGCAAGUCAGAUGUGAAAUCCUACAGCUUAACUGUAGAACUGCAUUUGAAACUGCUAACCUAGAGUAUGGGAGGGGGAGAUGGAAUUAGUGGUGUAGGGGUAAAAUCCGUAGAUAUCACUAGGAAUACCGAAAGCGAAGGCGAUCUCCUGGAACAUAACUGACGCUAGGGCGUGAAAGCGUGGGGAGCAAACAGGAUUAGAUACCCUAGUAGUCC